This is a long non-coding RNA of Pelmatolapia mariae (spotted tilapia), 444 nucleotides long. RefSeq lists it as uncharacterized. The record is from RefSeq and is a predicted model, not a curated record. NCBI's taxonomy places the organism in Eukaryota, Metazoa, Chordata, Actinopteri, Cichliformes, Cichlidae. The transcript is spliced from 3 exons.
CUUCCUCUUUCUGUGUCUCUGCACCCCCCACCUCCUCCCGUCCUCCCCUCCUUUUUCUCUCCUUCCCUCUUGGCAGCGGUGCCAAAGUGGGCUGGCAGACCGAAGCAAACACAGCACAGGGCAGAGCAGAGGGUGAUCCAAAGGCUGGUGAAUUGAUUAUGUUGGCUGUGUGUGAGCAGACGUCCCUCUGUCACCUCGUGUACGGACAGACGCACUCACGCCAGUAGGAGGGGAUUGUGGGAAGGGGGUGUAGCUCUCAGAGGGUGUGCUCUACUCCUCUCUUUUCCCUUCUUCCCGCCAUCACGGCCCUCUUCUCCUUCAGUCCUCCGGCCCAGCCCGCCGCUCACUACAGGCUUCAGGAAGGAUACCUUUGUGGAUCUUCGAUGUUGAAGCAACGUGGAUGCUGUCCUUGGAGCUGAGGUAGUAGAUUGAAUAGUUGUGGGG